Molecule: RNA transcript, 4254 nt
Organism: Crotalus tigris (Tiger rattlesnake)
Lineage: Eukaryota; Metazoa; Chordata; Lepidosauria; Squamata; Viperidae
Gene name: mitochondrial inner membrane protease subunit 2-like
Exons: 4
Source: RefSeq, a predicted model, not a curated record
UCACACAGUAGAUUGACAUGACAGUGAUAGUAAUAGCUUCACUUCUGCAAUGAUAGAUGCCAUAUCAGGCAGAAUAACAAAAUCUGCACAGUCCUCAUUCUCAGUCUGGUUUUUCCUCUUCAUUUUUUUUAAACAAUGAGAACCCUGCUGAAUGAAUAAUGGUCCCUCCCAUUUUUCACCUAGGUCUCCAAAAAACCCAGAACAGAAGAUCAUUAAACGAGUGAUUGCUCUUGAAGGGGACAUCAUCAAAACCAUAGGCUAUAAAAAGAAAUAUGUGAAAAUUCCACAUGGCUAUAUAUGGGUAGAAGGCGAUCAUCAUGGGCACAGCUUUGACAGCAAUGCUUUUGGUCCGAUUUCUCUUGGCCUUCUACAUGCUCGUGCUACUCGUAUACUUUGGCCUCCAGAGCGUUGGCAGAAGUUACAACCCAAGCUUUUUCCAGAACGCCAGCCUCUCCAGCAUGACCAGGAAUGACUAGUUUGGAUCUGUUAGAAAACUUAUAAUUGAAUUUGGUAUGACUAUAUGAAAUGCCUGGUGGUGACACUCUUCUUAAUAAAAGCAGAAAAACGGCACGUGCGGUGUUCAAAAUGGUGGCUGCUGCCGAAUGAGAAAGGAAGGCUGAGGCUGGAGCUGAAAGCUACCAAAAAACAACAGAUCAAGCAGCUGUAAUUCGCUCCGAAAUGAGCGCUGUAGACUGUGAAAAAGGCAAUGUACUCAAAGCCUCCCUAAACUGAGCACAGAAACAAACAGGACGAUCCUAUAAGGCACCCCACACAGCGUCCAAACACCCGCAAAGAAUCCGGUCUUCCCAACUAAAUGAGGCUCGAGGCUUCCAUCGAAGCCUGCAAGUCCUGUGAAACCAGCCGGUUCACACUGUGCUGAAAUCAGCGCAGAGAUGGGAAUGGGGAAAAAACAAGCCAAAAAACAAAAAGGAAAGGUACAACCUGAUCAUGUUUCUGCUCUAGGACUAAGAGCCAAGCUUUGCCAUGUCUCUCUUGGGCGAAGACUAAAUCAUGACUUGGGAUCCUAGUCCAAGGAGAGAGGUGUGGCAAAGGUUGAUUGACUUAGUCUCUAGGGCAGGAAGACUUGUGGAUUCAACCCAUCUGUGGUUUCUCCAUUGAUCAUGCUGGAGAAUGUACAAUGCAAGAUGGUCUAGCCUGAGUGAGAGCUAAACUAUAUGUCCCACAAAACCAACGAUUAAUGGUUCUACAAAAAAGCUAUGAUUCAAAAGUGGAGGGGUACUUUGGCUUCAUAAAAACCCUAUACCUAAUCAAGCAGCAAUUUUGGUGGCUGUCACUGAAAAAGGACAUAAAGAGCUAUGUGGCUACCUGCCCCAUUUGUGCCUCUACCAAGAGACAACAAGGGACAAUUUCUGGGCUUCUCCAGCCAGUAACAGAGCCCAAAGCCCCAUGGAAAGAGAUAUCAAUGGACUUUAUUGUAGAACUGCCUGAAAACUCGAGGAAUACAGUGAUCUGGUUGAUAAUCUGUUCUCCAAGCAAGUGCACUUUAUACCCUGCCAAAAAAUCCCCUCAGCACAUGCUUUGGCUAAAGUAUUAGUGCAGCACAUCUAUUGGCUACAUGGUGCUCCAGAAAGAAUAAUCUCAGAUCACGGAGUCCAAUUCACUUCCUGGCUUUGGCAGGAGUUCCUAAAACCUUUGGGGACCACUCAGGGAUUCGGCUCCUUACAUCAUCCAGCUACUAACGGGGGGUACGAGAGGACCAAUGGCAUCCUGGAACAGUACUUCAGAUGCUAUAUUAAUUACCAACAGGACAAUUGGACGGACCUCCUCCCUUUUGUAGAGGUCACCUGAAUAUCUCAGUGCAAAGUAGCAGUGGGUUCACUCCAUUUAAAGUGGCCAUAGGACAAGACUUUGUAUCUAUCUUUCAACUGUCUGACUAGUGAAAACCCCUCCCCCAAAAAAGAAUCUUCAAGGCUUUUGAGUUCCAUAAAAGAUAAAACUUUAUUGAUUACACAUCUUGGAACUGAAGAAGCAAAACCAGCUCUGGUUUUCCCAUGCGAAAGAUUGCUUAGUUAAACAAUAGCUUCCCUUGCCCCCAGUCACCAGAUGCCCACAUUGUCCAAUCAUAGAACUUCAACUUGUUAUGGGAAUGGUCCACUUCUCCAUCAAGCAUCUGCAUUAGUGACCUUGGCAUUCCUGCAAGCUCUCACGGUCCGUGAACGGCUUCUUGGAAUCUCCUUUCCUUCCUGCAUUUCUACCCCUCCCCUCUUUUCUAUGGCAAGUUGAUUAGCGAUAGAAGCUAGCAGGUCUCAUAGCGAUUUAAUCUUGACAUGCCAGCCCCCUGAAAGAAGGGUAAAUAUGAGAGAAAUUAAGCACAGUUAUAUAUAAAUCAUCUCUUAGGACGCUGAGAAUAUUUGGCAUGAAAUCUUCUUAUUAAUCUGUUGGCCUUAAUGUUACCAGCCACUACCCAGUCAGCAUUAGUUCCCCCCCCCCAUCUCAGCCCCCCAGCCAGGUUGCAAAACUCCUGAAUGUACCCUGCUUUACAGAGCUGAUUCUGGAUUCCGCCUGGAAGGUUUGUGUGGGGUCCCUGAAUCUGGCUCAGAGCCCCUUUUGGAAGAUUUUAACAUUUCCCAGUUCAAAGAGCCCCCUCAUCAUGGAGCACCACCAUCCAUUCAGCAGCUUCUCCCUCCAGAUUUGCAGCUAUGGCAUUCACACAGGCCCCUUCAUCCACUCCAGGUAGAUCCACACUUGGUUCAGAAAAUAAGCAAGUUUCUCUGGCCACCUGUCAAAUGUGGCUUUCAAAGAUGGUGGCUCAUGGUCAUCACAGACCAGCAUGUAGCCAAGUGGCAUCCCCAUGACUUGCGGGGCAGCAUGGGCUGGAGCCAGUAGGGCCCUAUCCAUCCCCUGGUUUCCUGCCUCCCCUGGCACACCCGACUUAGCACCAUUGGGUGAGGUGGAGAAGAGGAUGAAGUCACUGAAGCCUGCCCCAUCUCAAGCACUGUUUCCUGGGUUGAGGAUUUCUCCAGCACUGCUCCUCGCAUCUCCAUCCUGACAAACGUCUUCCACUGCUACUCCACCAGAGGGCUGCGGGAGAUGGUCAGGGUCUCCACUUUGCUGGCUCUUCCCAUUCUUCAGCCCUCUUGACCUUCCAUUUGCUUCCCCCAGGUUACUGCAACCCCUGGUGGGAUUAGGGGGAACUCCAUCUCAGCAGCUUUCCCCACAUCACCUGUCCAUUGGGCUUUUGGUCAUGGUCCCCUCUUCUCAUAUUGGCAGUUGCUCCAUCUUCUCAGCUCUCACUUUGGACUUUGUUACCACUGGCAACGUCCCAGAGUUUACCUGAGCCAAUGCCAGUACCUCCUGGGGAGGGACCACCCCAGGCGUCUUCUUUUUCUCAGUUCCUGUCAUCACUAUGCUACAAUCCUUUCAGAAGCAUCCGAAUAGGUUGCAUACAUAACGUAGAGAGCUGGUUUAAUGUCAACUGUUUGACUAGUGAACCCCAAAAAAGGAAUCUUCAAGGAUUUUGAGUGCCACAAAAGAUAAAAUUUUAUUGAAUACACAUCUCAGAAUUGAAGAAGCAAAACCAGCUUUGUUUUUUCUGCAUGAAAGACUUCUUAGUUAAGCAAUAGCUUCCCUUGCUCCCAUUCACUAGGUGCCCACAUUGUCCAAUCAUAGAAAUUUGGCUUGUUAUGGAAACAGUCCACUUCUCCAUCAAGCACCUUGAUGACCUUGGCAUUCCUGCAGGCUUUCACGGUCUGUGAAUGGCUUCUUGGAAUCCUCUUUUCUCCCUGUGCUUUCUACUCCUCCCCCUUUUCCUAUGGUAAGUUGAUUAGAUAGCACAGGGGUCAAACUCGAUUUCAUUGAGGGCCGCAUCAUGGUUGUGGUUGACCUUGGGGGGGCCAGCAUGGGUAUGGCUGGCGUGGGCAUAGUGGGAGUGGGCGUGGCCAGGGUGGGCAUGGUCAGUUCAACGUUGCUUGUGAUGGGAGGCACCUAUGAUGGUCCAGGAGGGGCUGAGGGGAUCCAUUGUCUCCAGCCAAGGAAGGCAAGACCAGGGCGAACAGCAUACCCUUGUCCAUCAGAGGAGCCUUGCUGUCCCUCUCAGACCAUGCAGAGGAUCCCAGUGAUGCUGGCUGCCCAGAGCCCUGGGCAAUGGAGGGCAAGUGCCCAGUCCAGCCUUUCCCAAAGCAUCCCCAGAGAUAGGAUGGGAGACCACGAGGAGAUGUCAGGAGGAGGGGACAAGGGGAUGGCGAAAGGGCAGCAGGGCUGCUCAUGGCCAAGUGCUAAGGCAGGACUUCCCUU